Molecule: ribosomal RNA, 304 nt
Filed under: uncultured eukaryote
Lineage: Eukaryota
Description: partial large subunit ribosomal RNA
Rfam family: Eukaryotic large subunit ribosomal RNA
Source: RNAcentral
AUAUCAAUAAGCGGAGGAAAAGAAACCAACAGGGAUUGCCUCAGUAACGGCGAGUGAAGCGGCAACAGCUCAGAUUUGAAAGCCGGCAUCAGCCUGCAUUGUAAUCUGCAGAGGAACGUUUGGCUGCGGUAAGGGUCCAAGUCUUCUGGAAUGAAGCGCCUUAGAGGGUGAGAGCCCCGUAUUCGGCGUCAUGACUUACCGAGCUCCUUUCAAAGAGUCGGGUUGUUUUGAACUACAGCCCUAAGCUGGGAGAUAGACUUCUUCUAAGGCUAAAUAUAUAUGGGAGACCGAUAGCGCACAAGUA